RNAcentral lists this ribosomal RNA (253 nucleotides) under uncultured bacterium. RNAcentral describes it as "partial 16S ribosomal RNA". It matches the Rfam family "Bacterial small subunit ribosomal RNA", at positions 524 to 776 of the family's 1533-position model. The record is from RNAcentral.
UACGGAGGAUCCAAGCGUUAUCCGGAAUCAUUGGGUUUAAAGGGUCCGUAGGCGGUUUAUUAAGUCAGUGGUGAAAGCCCGCAGCUCAACUGUGGAACGGCCAUUGAUACUGAUAGACUUGAAUUAUUGGGAAGUAACUAGAAUAUGUAGUGUAGCGGUGAAAUGCUUAGAUAUUACAUGGAAUACCAAUUGCGAAGGCAGGUUACUACCAAUUGAUUGACGCUGAUGGACGAAAGCGUGGGGAGCGAACAGG